This 456-nucleotide long non-coding RNA is filed under the name Durio zibethinus. RNAcentral describes it as "long non-coding RNA (DZIB_LNC001649)". Lineage: Eukaryota; Viridiplantae; Streptophyta; Magnoliopsida; Malvales; Malvaceae. The record is from RNAcentral.
CAGGCUUUUUGAGCCACGUUAUUACUUAAAAGAAUUGAAAUGCAAACAUCAUCAAAUUAAAAACCCUCCAAGAAGGAGUGACACGUUAAUUGAUAAUAUUGUUUUUAUGCAGAAAACAUAUUGGCUAAGGAUGAUUAAGUUGUCAAUUAGAAACAAGAGCCAUCAGAGAGGACCACACCAAGCGCUUAAGACCUUAUCAGUGGAAGCAUGAGAGUCAAUUUGCUGCUGAAACUUCAUUUCCCAUCGUUUUGCCAUAAUUCAGUGAUGCAUGAUUAUGACUAUGGGGUUUGUAGAGAAAUAUUGCAAGUACAUUGGGAGGAGGUACGGUCUUCUUGCCAGCUAUUGCGAGGAAUGAUGAGUAGCUUUCAAUAAUAUUUUUAAUUAUAAUAUUCUGCAAGUUAUGUGUAUUCCUACAGGUCUCUCUCACCGUAGACUAAGUCAAUAAAGCUCUUCUUC